GGAUCAUUGCUGGAAUACCGCCCUCACAGGUGCUACCCAGAAACCCUUUGUGAAUUAUACUAUAACCUGUUGCCUCGGCAGUGACUGGCUUUCUCUGAAAGUCCCUUUUUCUCUUUUGAAAAAGGAGCAGGUCGGCCGGUGGCCCUAUAAACUCUUUGUUUUUACCAUGUAUCUUCUGAGUAAACAACUAUAAAUGAAUCAAAACUUUUAACAACGGAUCUCUUGGUUCUGGCAUCGAUGAAGAACGCAGCGAAAUGCGAUAAGUAAUGUGAAUUGCAGAAUUCAGUGAAUCAUCGAAUCUUUGAACGCACAUUGCGCCCGCUGGUAUUCCAGCGGGCAUGCCUGUUCGAGCGUCAUUUCAACCCUCAAAACCUCGGUUUUGGUGUUGGAGGAAUACUUGUUAAAGAGUACCCUCUGAAAUUUAGUGGCGGGCUCGCUAGAAUUUUGAGCGUAGUAAUUUUCAUACCUCGUUUAUAAAGACUAGCGGUGCUUCUUGCCGUAAAACCCCCCAACUUUCUGAAAAUUGACCUCGGAUCAGGUAGGAAUACCCGCUGAACUUAAGCAUAUCAAUAAGCGGAGGAAAAGAAACCAACAGGGAUUGCCCCAGUAACGGCGAGUGAAGCGGCAACAGCUCAAAUUUGAAAUCUGGCUUCGGCCCGAGUUGUAAUUUGCAGAGGAUGUUUAUGGUGCGGUACCUUCCGAGUUCCCUGGAACGGGACGCCACAGAGGGUGAGAGCCCCGUCUGGUUGGAUAUCAAACCUGUGUUAAACUCCUUCAACGAGUCGAGUAGUUUGGGAAUGCUGCUCUAAAUGGGAGGUAAAUCUCUUCUAAAGCUAAAUACCGGCCAGAGACCGAUAGCGCACAAGUAGAGUGAUCGAAAGAUGAAAAGCACCUUGAAAAGGGGGUUAAACAGUACGUGAAAUUGUUAAAAGGGAAGCGUUUAUGACCAGACUUGUGUCGUGUGGCUCAUCCGAGGUUCUCCCCGGUGCACUCCACACGGCUCAGGCCAACAUCGGUUCUCGUUGGGGGAUAAGAACAGCAGGAACGUGGCCCUCUUCGGAGGGUGUUAUAGCCUGCUGUACGAUACCCUGAUGGGGACCGAGGACCGC
RNAcentral lists this ribosomal RNA (1109 nucleotides) under fungal sp. ARIZ AZ1003. RNAcentral describes it as "eukaryotic LSU rRNA". The stretch from base 525 to 1109 matches the Rfam family "Eukaryotic large subunit ribosomal RNA", at positions 1 to 598 of the family's 3401-position model. Lineage: Eukaryota; Fungi. The record is from RNAcentral.